CAAUAGCAUAUAUUAAAGUUGUUGCGGUUAAAAAGCUCGUAGUUGGAUUUCUGUUGGGAACGACCGGUCCGCCCAUUGGGUGUGUAUCUGGCUUGUUCUCGGCAUCUUCUUGGUGAACGUUGCUGCACUUGACUGUGUGGAGCGCUACCCAGGACUUUUACUUUGAGGAAAUUAGAGUGUUUCAAGCAGGCAUAUGCCUUGAAUACAUUAGCAUGGAAUAAUAAGAUAGGACCUCGGUUCUAUUUUGUUGGUUUCUAGAGCUGAGGUAAUGAUUAAUAGGGAUAGUUGGGGGCAUUCGUAUUUAACUGUCAGAGGUAAAAUUCUUGGAUUUGUUAAAGACGGACUACUGCGAAAGCAUUUGCCAAGGAUGUUUUCAUUGA
Molecule: ribosomal RNA, 380 nt
Filed under: uncultured eukaryote
Lineage: Eukaryota
Description: partial 18S ribosomal RNA
Rfam family: Eukaryotic small subunit ribosomal RNA
Source: RNAcentral